Molecule: long non-coding RNA, 437 nt
Filed under: Nicotiana benthamiana
Lineage: Eukaryota; Viridiplantae; Streptophyta; Magnoliopsida; Solanales; Solanaceae
Description: long non-coding RNA (NBEN_LNC014012)
Source: RNAcentral
UAAUGUGAAAGUCGGAAUCGGCUUCGACGAGCACUAAAUCGAAAAGAAAGAGACUAGAAAAGAUAAAUCCAGUGUAGAUUGUUCAACAAAGUUAUUUUGUGGAAGAGGAAGAUACAGAUGAAUGGCAUUCUCUGCAACUUUUCGUUGUUCAUCUUCUCUAUGUCGUCCUCUGAAUAAUUCAACAAUUUCACGCGUUUUGCCUCAGUCAUCUUCUUUACUCUCCUUUCGAUCUUCGCCUUCACUUUUUAAUCGCAACAAGUAUUUGUCUAUUCGAUCUGCAACACUUGAAGGCGAUCUUUUACAUGCUUGACUUUUGGAUUAAUAGCCUAAUAGCAAGAAAAUCUGUUGAAGAACUCGACUAUUUUACCAGAGAGAGAGAAAGAGAGAAAGAGCAAAAGCGAAUUGAAAAUGAAAGAGAAAGAGGGCGGGGAGAAAAU